CACCAAGGCAUCGACGGGUAGCUGGUCUGAGAGGACGAUCAGCCACACUGGGACUGAGACACGGCCCAGACUCCUACGGGAGGCAGCAGUGGGGAAUCUUGCGCAAUGCGCGAAAGCGUGACGCAGCAACGCCGCGUGGGGGAAGAAGGCUUUCGGGUUGUAAACCCCUUUCAGUUGGGACGAAGCUUCGUCGAUUAAUAGUCGGCCGGAGUGACGGUACCUUCACAAGAAGCACCGGCUAACUACGUGCCAGCAGCCGCGGUAAUACGUAGGGGGCUAGCGUUGCUCGGAAUCACUGGGCGUAAAGCGCACGUAGGCGGUCGUACAAGUCGAGUGUGAAAUCCCCCGGCUCAACUGGGGAACGUCGCUCGAUACUGUUCGACUUGAAGGCGGGAGAGGGAAGCGGAAUUCCCGGUGUAGUGGUGAAAUGCGUAGAUAUCGGGAGGAACACCAGUGGCGAAGGCGGCUUUCUGGCCCGUUCUUGACGCUGAGGCGCGAAAGCUAGGGUAGCAAACGGGAUUAGAUACCCCGGUAGUCCUAGCCGUAAACGAUGGACACUAGGUGUUGGUGGUAUCAACCCCGCCAGUGCCGAAGCUAACGCAUUAAGUGUCCCGCCUG
RNAcentral lists this ribosomal RNA (618 nucleotides) under uncultured soil bacterium. RNAcentral's name for it is "bacterial SSU rRNA". It matches the Rfam family "Bacterial small subunit ribosomal RNA", at positions 266 to 875 of the family's 1533-position model. The record is from RNAcentral.